RNAcentral lists this ribosomal RNA (452 nucleotides) under uncultured Lactobacillales bacterium. RNAcentral describes it as "bacterial SSU rRNA". It matches the Rfam family "Bacterial small subunit ribosomal RNA", at positions 917 to 1370 of the family's 1533-position model. Lineage: Bacteria; Bacillati; Bacillota; Bacilli; Lactobacillales. The record is from RNAcentral.
GGGCCCGCACAAGCGGUGGAGCAUGUGGUUUAAUUCGAAGCAACGCGAAGAACCUUACCAGGUCUUGACAUACCAUGAAAAGCUAAGAGAUUAGUCUUUCCCUUCGGGGACAUGGAUACAGGUGGUGCAUGGUUGUCGUCAGCUCGUGUCGUGAGAUGUUGGGUUAAGUCCCGCAACGAGCGCAACCCUUAUUAUCAGUUGCCAGCAUUAAGUUGGGCACUCUGGUGAGACUGCCGGUGACAAACCGGAGGAAGGUGGGGACGACGUCAAAUCAUCAUGCCCCUUAUGACCUGGGCUACACACGUGCUACAAUGGUCGGUACAACGUGUUGCGAACUCGCGAGGGCAAGCAAAUCACUUAAAACCGAUCUCAGUUCGGAUUGUAGGCUGCAACUCGCCUACAUGAAGCUGGAAUCGCUAGUAAUCGCGGAUCAGCAUGCCGCGGUGAAUACG